GCGGCUGUGCCGGAGUGGUCAAACGGGCACGGUUGAGGGCCGUGUAGCUUAGGCUUACGCAGGUUCGAAUCCUGCCAGCCGCA
Molecule: transfer RNA, 83 nt
Filed under: Candidatus Woesearchaeota archaeon
Lineage: Archaea; Nanobdellati; Candidatus Woesearchaeota
Description: tRNA-Leu
Rfam family: tRNA
About the family: Transfer RNA (tRNA) molecules are approximately 80 nucleotides in length. Their secondary structure includes four short double-helical elements and three loops (D, anti-codon, and T loops).
Source: RNAcentral